UGAGGCAGGAGAAUUGCUUGAACCCAGGAGGUGGAGGCUUCAGUGAGCCGAGAUCCCGCCACUGCACUCCAGCCUGGAUGACAGAGCGAGACUC
Molecule: microRNA precursor, 94 nt
Filed under: Cebus imitator (Panamanian white-faced capuchin)
Lineage: Eukaryota; Metazoa; Chordata; Mammalia; Primates; Cebidae
Description: miRNA (ENSCCAG00000017872.1)
Source: RNAcentral